Molecule: non-coding RNA, 85 nt
Organism: halophilic archaeon J07HX64
Lineage: Archaea; Methanobacteriati; Methanobacteriota; Halobacteria; Halobacteriales
Source: Rfam
GCGAGGGUAGCAGAGUCAGGCCAAACGCGGCGGGCUUAAGACCCGCUCCCGCAGGGGUUCCUGGGUUCGAAUCCCAGCCCUCGCA